CCUGCCUCCGGGCCGGCAGGGCGCAGGGCGAGGGGGAGCGCACCCCGACUUCCCUGGAUCACAUGGGCUGCGGGGGGCGGGUGGAUCGGGGGAGGGGAGGCGCGGGGAGCUUGCUGCGGCUCCUCACCCGGACCGGGGAGAAGACGCCCCCCACCCUCUCUAGUUCGCCCUCUCCAUUCAAGUUUGCCGGCCCCUGCCGCCGAGAUCCGGAGAUGGCACCAGCCGCCCGCCCUGCGCUGUGCCCUGUUUCCAGCCACGGCUCAGAAAUUUAGGUCAAGGACGUCGGGAGCAAACCCACACCCCGGCGCUUCUCUGGCGGCCCCCGAGACCCCCCAGGAUCGGGGGGCUUCAGGAUAGCGGAGACCCUCCUGCACAAACACCAGCCACAAGUUUUAUUUUCCUUUUGCGCUGGAAGUUCUCUCUGGCUCUCGCUCCACACCGGCACGUCUUGCGCGGUUCCCCGCCCUUCCCCAGUAGAGGAUUAGGAGACAAAGGAAGACACUCACCACCAAAACUGUACCAAAUCCACUGUGGGUUUUGGAAAAAUGGAAUAUUUGGAAAAUCUCAACACCAGCCAUAUCCUUCAGUGACCAGACCCUCAAUCUCCCCGUUCCCUGAAUUGCAGUAAUUCCUCCUUGACAGGAUUGAUGGGGUGAAGCUCACUCAAUGUAGCCCCUGCCUCAGGAGAAUACAAGCAGCAUAAUAUCAGUCCUCAACCCUCUGAAAGUCUCAACAGCCCAAGACAAUGUUGGACACUUCCUUCUUCAAACUCAAUCUUCCAGGAUGGGUUUAAACACAUGUUGAUGCCACUCAAAUUGAAAUCUCCAGCCUCACCCUUCCUGAAGAGCUCCAGGCUCUGGGAAUUGUCUGGAAACUCCAUGGAACAAGGCCUCAUCUGUUUCACCCUUUACCGUACCUCCAGCACCUAGAACAAUGCCAACACGUGGUAGGAGAUCAACA
Molecule: long non-coding RNA, 960 nt
Organism: Rhinopithecus roxellana (golden snub-nosed monkey)
Lineage: Eukaryota; Metazoa; Chordata; Mammalia; Primates; Cercopithecidae
Exons: 4
Source: RefSeq, a predicted model, not a curated record